This 503-nucleotide ribosomal RNA is filed under the name uncultured bacterium. RNAcentral's name for it is "partial 16S ribosomal RNA". It matches the Rfam family "Bacterial small subunit ribosomal RNA", at positions 30 to 523 of the family's 1533-position model. The record is from RNAcentral.
AUUGAACGCUGGCGGCAGGCUUAACACAUGCAAGUCGAGCGGGGUGAUGGUGCUUGCACUAUCACUUAGCGGCGGACGGGUGAGUAAUGCUUAGGAAUCUGCCUAUUAGUGGGGGACAACAUCUCGAAAGGGAUGCUAAUACCGCAUACGUCCUACGGGAGAAAGCAGGGGAUCACUUGUGACCUUGCGCUAAUAGAUGAGCCUAAGUCGGAUUAGCUAGUUGGUGGGGUAAAGGCCUACCAAGGCGACGAUCUGUAGCGGGUCUGAGAGGAUGAUCCGCCACACUGGGACACGGACACGGCCCAGACUCCUACGGGAGGUAGCAGUGGGGAAUAUUGGCCAAUGGGGGGAACCCUGAUCCGGCCAUGCCCCGUGUGUGAAGAAGGCCUUAUGGUUGUAAAGCACUUUAAGCGAGGAGGAGGCUCUUUUGGUUAAUACCCAAGAUGAGUGGACGUUACUCGCAGAAUAAGCACCGGCUAACUCUGUGCCAGCAGCCGCCGUAA